RNAcentral lists this ribosomal RNA (444 nucleotides) under uncultured marine eukaryote. RNAcentral describes it as "SSU rRNA". It matches the Rfam family "Eukaryotic small subunit ribosomal RNA", at positions 121 to 565 of the family's 1831-position model. The record is from RNAcentral.
UGGAUAGUAACAGUUACUUGGAUAACUGCGGUAAUUCUGGAGCUAAUACAUGCAUAAAGCCCCAACUCACGAAGGGGCGCUUUUAUUAGAUCAAAACCAAACGGCUUCGGCUGUACUCUUGGUGAUUCUGAAUAACUUUGGGCUGAUCGCAUAGCCUUGCGCUGGCGACAUAUCCUUCGAAGGUGUGCCCUAUCAACUGUCGACUGUGGCAUAGACGCCCACAGUGGUUUUGACGGGUAACGGGGAAUCAGGGUUCGAUUCCGGAGAGGGAGCCUUAAAAACGGCUACCACAUCUAAGGAAGGCAGCAGGCACGCAAAUUACCCAAUGACCGAAGGUCGAGGUAGUGACGAAAAAUAACGAUAGCGGUCUCAUCCGAGGUACGCUAAUUGGAAUGAGUACACUUUAAAACCGUCCCCGAGGAUCUAUUGGAGGGCAAGUCUGGU